UCGGGAAGUAGCUCAGUUUGGUAGAGCACCUGGUUUGGGACCAGGGGGUCGCAGGUUCGAAUCCUGUCUUCCCGAU
This 76-nucleotide transfer RNA is filed under the name Ligilactobacillus salivarius. RNAcentral describes it as "Lactobacillus salivarius tRNA-Pro". It matches the Rfam family "tRNA". Rfam says of the family: Transfer RNA (tRNA) molecules are approximately 80 nucleotides in length. Their secondary structure includes four short double-helical elements and three loops (D, anti-codon, and T loops). Further hydrogen bonds mediate the characteristic L-shaped molecular structure. tRNAs have two regions of fundamental functional importance: the anti-codon, which is responsible for specific mRNA codon recognition, and the 3' end, to which the tRNAs corresponding amino acid is attached (by aminoacyl-tRNA synthetases). tRNAs cope with the degeneracy of the genetic code in two manners: having more than one tRNA (with a specific anti-codon) for a particular amino acid; and 'wobble' base-pairing, i.e. permitting non-standard base-pairing at the 3rd anti-codon position. The record is from RNAcentral. RNAcentral also lists the same sequence under 2 other names. Lineage: Bacteria; Bacillati; Bacillota; Bacilli; Lactobacillales; Lactobacillaceae.